UAAGAGUUUGCAGCUGUCGGAUCUUUCUCUCUCUCUAAAGGCCACCACUUUUUGCCCUUUCUUUUUAAUUUAACCAACCCAGACCAAUUUGUUGUCAAGAAACUCAUCAAGUAAUAAACAGCAUCAUAGACUGGCUGCAUCUAUCAUUUUCUUUGUCUAAAAUCUCUCGUAAUGAUUCUUAGUUGAUGAUUGAAUAUAGAGGCACGCACAUAGAGUAGAAGCGCAGACAAUAUAA
This 235-nucleotide unclassified non-coding RNA is filed under the name Hevea brasiliensis (rubber tree). Lineage: Eukaryota; Viridiplantae; Streptophyta; Magnoliopsida; Malpighiales; Euphorbiaceae. The record is from RNAcentral.